Molecule: ribosomal RNA, 211 nt
Filed under: uncultured bacterium
Lineage: Bacteria
Description: partial 16S ribosomal RNA
Rfam family: Bacterial small subunit ribosomal RNA
Source: RNAcentral
UUCGGAUUGCAGGCUGCAACCCGCCUGUAUGAAGUUGGAAUCGCUAGUAAUCGCGGAUCAGCAUGCCGCGGUGAAUACGUUCCCGGGCCUUGUACACACCGCCCGUCACACCAUGAGAGUCGGGAACACCCGAAGUCCGUAGUCUAACUUUCACGAGAGGACGCGGCCGAAGGUGGGUUCGAUAAUUGGGGUGAAGUCGUAACAAGGUAUC